Lycium ferocissimum is the source of this 1850-nucleotide long non-coding RNA. RefSeq lists it as uncharacterized. The transcript is spliced from 3 exons. The record is from RefSeq and is a predicted model, not a curated record. Lineage: Eukaryota; Viridiplantae; Streptophyta; Magnoliopsida; Solanales; Solanaceae.
ACAACCUGUCUGGGUGGAAUACACAUACAUCUCUUGCUUGUCCAUUAUAUAAUUUUAAUACGGAAUCUAUAAGGCUAAAGUUUGGUAGGAAAAAUUGCUUUAGGGGACAUCGUCGGUAUUUUCCACAUGAUCACAAGUAUAGGUACAAUAAGCAGUCCUUUAAUGAUUUUGAAGAGCAUAGACCUGCGCCUAUUCCACCAUCAGGUUCAACCAUGUUGAGGCAAAUUGAGGAGAAUCGGAAGAGGCAACGUGAUUGUUCUACAAGUAAGGUUAGCCCGGAACAAUGGAAGAAAAAGAGUAUUUUUUGGGAUUUACCUUAUUGGAAGAACAUCUUAUUCGUCAUUGCCUUGACAUGAUGCUCAUAGAGAAGAACGUUUGUGACAAUAUAUUGUUCACCUUACUUGGUGACAAAAAAAAAAAGAUCAAAAGACAAUUUGCAAGCGAUGGGAAUUAGAGAAAAGCUUCAUCCAUAUCCUAAUUCUUCUAAGUUUCCUCCGUCAUGCUUUAACAUGAAGAAAGAGUAGAAAGAUAUCUUCCUAAAAGUUUUAAAAAAUGUGGUUUUUCCAGAUAAUUACGCAUCAAACAUUUCUAGAUGUGUUGAUCUUAAGAAACGCAAGAUCUUUAAUUUAAAGAGCCAUGAUUCCCACAUUCAGAUGGAGCAUCUUUUGCCAAUUGAUUUAAGAAGAUCUCUUCCUAAAGAAAUUACUUUAUUUUGAUUGAGUUAUGUAACUCCUUUAGAGAAGUAUCAAGCAAGGUUUUAGAUGUAAAGUAUAUGGAGAAGCUCUAACAAAGAAUUUGGUUGAAUCAUUCUAAUAUGGAAGUGAUAUUCCCUCCGUAAUUUGUCACUAUUAUGGUUCAUCUAGUCAUUCAUCUUGGAGAGGAAGCAAUUCUUGUUGGUACUGUACAAGGUCAUUGGAUGUACCCUAUUGAAAGGGAACUCGGCCAUUUGAAAUCUUAUGUACGUAACAAUUCCGCACCAGAAGGUUGUAUAGCUGAAGGAUACAUUUUGGAGGAAUGUCUCACUUUUUGUUCAAGAUAUUUGGAGGAUGGUGAUAUUGAAACAAGGUUUGAUCGACCAAGGGGUAAUGAUGAUGACAAUGAGAUCAGUGCUAGUAGUGAAUCUACUGUCUUGUCAAACUUGUUUCCUGCAUCAGGCAAGCCUGUUGGGGCUAUUAAGACUCUACCCAUACCUCUCUUGGAAAUCAUACAAGCUCACCGAUAUGUUCUAACCAAUUGUUAAAUAGUUGCUGCAUUCCGAGAGUACGUUACAUGAUCUUUUAUAUUGUUCAUUUUCUUUUGUAAUGUAUUUUUAUACCUUACUUUAUGAAUUACAACUACAUUCAGGAAGUUAGGAUUGAGGUCGCUAGGAUGCAUCGUGGCAAAAGAAACCAAUCAAAAACUGUGGAAGAACAUGUGCACAAACAUUUUCACGAGUGGUUUAAGGAAUAUGUUGCAAGAAAUGAUGGUACGGAUAUUACACCUAAAAUUUAACGGCUUGCAAAUGGACCAAAUAAUGUUGUGAGGAGAUUCAAGGAGUAUAACAUUCAUGGAUUUAAGUUUCAUACUGUGAGGAAGGAGCAGGGAUUGACAACACAAAAUAGUGGUGUUUUUAUAUCUAUUGUUACCAAGAGAUUUUCAAGUGGUAGAGAAUCUAUUGAAAAGACAAGUGAUGAUAUGUACUAUGGCAAAUUGGUUGACAUCAUAGAGUUACAUUAUUACGGUAAGUUAAAGGUUGUGUUAUUCAAAUGUAUUUGGGUAGACACUACACUUAACAAGGGAAUAAGAUAGAUCAAUUUGGGAUAACAAGUGUAAACUUUUCACGUUUAAUACACCUUUGGUGAAAAAGAAAU